UUCUUUGCCCCAAUUCAGCCUGUGUGCAUAUAUGGAAAUACACGGCACUGUUGAUUAUUUUUUCACUAUUUGUUAUUUUUGUUAUUUUCUCAUGAACUGGAAGCCUUAGAAUUGAUAUUAAGGAAUCUUGGGUAGGGGUUCAAAUAUGAAGGCAAAGUCGUGAGAUGGCAAGAGGAUUGGGGGAAUUUGGGAUGUACUCCGUGUGAAUAAUUUUUGACGUAUUUAUGGAUGAAAACUCCCCCUUUGACCUCUUACUUUGGUGCCCCUUGAAACGGGUGAUGUAUUAUGACGAUAAAAGGCAAACAAGCUAAGGGCUAGGGGUUGAGAAUACCCCUGCCCAAAAUCCUACAAAAGCAAAGCCUUUCCAUUGUUAAUAAUCACGAGGUUGUGAUUACAAAAGUACUUCUUGUGGUUUGAGCAGACGAGAUUUUAUGCUGCAUAGGAUUAUAAAAACAAUCCACCAGAGUCGACUUGUCUUUGGAACCAAUAAGUCAAAGGCCUUUUAAGAAGUUAUGUUAAAAGUUUUCUAGAAGCUAAGAAUCGACACAAUCAGGGAGACAAUAUGCCAUACCAGAUUCAUUCAAAAUGAAACAUCAGGCCUUCUGAGCAUAGAAGCACUGAAUGAAGAUGUGAUUGAAGGUCUCAUUUUCAUUAUAGCACAAACACUCGACUGUAAGAGUUCACCAAAGGAGUUCUUUGGUGAGAUGAAGGAAGACGGAUUUCACAGAACAAAAGCCAUUUGGAUCUAACUUCCGCCAGAUUCUGUCUUUGGCCCCUAGAUAGCUGGACCUCAUCUAGUUUUUCCGAAAAAUCGUCCCAGCUAGCCACCUCUAUAUUGAACAUUCGAACAGACACCAAGAGUUUGUGAAAAGAAAUUUUCUUAUGUUUGAUAAAAUUAUACCUCUGACCCUUUGGUUACAUGAAUAUAUCGAGAUGUAAAUCUGAGAUUUCAUAAAUGGGCAUCUAUACUUUUAAGUUAAUGCCACCUCAUUUGUAAUCCUUGGAUAGGCCUAUAUAUUUGUCUUUUUU
This is a long non-coding RNA of Cucurbita maxima (winter squash), 1029 nucleotides long. RefSeq lists it as uncharacterized. The record is from RefSeq and is a predicted model, not a curated record. The transcript has 2 exons. Lineage: Eukaryota; Viridiplantae; Streptophyta; Magnoliopsida; Cucurbitales; Cucurbitaceae.